CAGCCGCCGCGGGAAUACAGAGGGUGCGAGCGUUAAUCGGAUUUACUGGGCAUAAAGCGUGCGUAGGCGGCUAAUUGAGUCGGAUGUGAAAUCCCCGAGCUUAACUUGGGAAUUGCAUUCGAUACUGGUUAGCUAGAGUGUGGGAGAGGAUGGUAGAAUUCCAGGUGUAGCGGUGAAAUGCGUAGAGAUCUGGAGGAAUACCGAUGGUGAAGGCAGCCAUCUGGCCUAACACUGACGCUGAGGUACGAAAGCAUGGGGAGCAAACAGGAUUAGAGACCCCCGUAGUCCCUGUCUCUUAUAC
This 301-nucleotide ribosomal RNA is filed under the name uncultured bacterium. RNAcentral's name for it is "partial 16S ribosomal RNA". It matches the Rfam family "Bacterial small subunit ribosomal RNA", at positions 509 to 807 of the family's 1533-position model. The record is from RNAcentral.